This 475-nucleotide ribosomal RNA is filed under the name Agama rueppelli. RNAcentral's name for it is "partial 16S ribosomal RNA". It matches the Rfam family "Bacterial large subunit ribosomal RNA", at positions 1849 to 2597 of the family's 2925-position model. The record is from RNAcentral. Lineage: Eukaryota; Metazoa; Chordata; Lepidosauria; Squamata; Agamidae.
AAGGUAACGCCUGCCCAGUGAGAAAACUUUCUUAAACGGCCGCGGCAUAAACCGUGCAAAGGUAGCGAAAUCACUUGUCUCCUAAAUAGAGACCAGUAUGAAAGGCCACAUGAGAAAGAAACUGUCUCUUGAAGAUAGCCAAUGAAACUGAUCUGACUGUGCAAAAGCAGCCAUAAUAAAACAAGACAAAAAGACCCUGUGAAACUUUAAAUAACACGCCAACUAAAUGACGAUAUAUUUUGGGUUGGGGCAACCAAAGAGAAACAAAACCUCUUAAACAUAUCAGACAAACAAGUCAAAUUUAAAAACACGACCCAGUAAGACUGAUCAAUGGACCAAGCUACUCCAGGGAUAACAGCGCCAAAUUCUUGAAGAGUUCACAUCAACAAGAAUACUUACGACCUCGAUGUUGGAUCAGGAUAACCAAACAGUGCAAAAGCCGCUAACGGUUCGUUUGUUCAACGAUUAAUAUCCU